RNAcentral lists this ribosomal RNA (407 nucleotides) under Oxypleurodon difficilis. RNAcentral describes it as "partial large subunit ribosomal RNA". The stretch from base 281 to 407 matches the Rfam family "Bacterial large subunit ribosomal RNA", at positions 2473 to 2599 of the family's 2925-position model. Lineage: Eukaryota; Metazoa; Arthropoda; Malacostraca; Decapoda; Epialtidae. The record is from RNAcentral.
AUGGUUAAACAAAAGAGGUUCUGUCUCUUUAUUUUAUAUUGAAUUUAACUUUUAAGUGAAAAGGCUUAAAUUUUUUAGGGGGACGAUAAGACCCUAUAAAGCUUUUAUAAUGAAAUAAUAUUUUUUUAAAAUAAUUUAUAAAAAUAAAGUAAAAUUACUUUAUUUUGUUGGGGCGACAUAGAUAUAAAUAUAUUAUUUAACUGUCAGUAUAUAAAUACAUAAAUUUAUGGAUACGAUAGAUGAUCCUUAUUUAAAGAUUAAAAGACUAAGUUACUUUAGGGAUAACAGCAUUAUUUCUUUUGAGAGUUCUUAUUGAAAAAGAAGUUUGUGACCUCGAUGUUGAAUUAAAGAAUCUUUAUAGUGUAGCCGUUAUAAAAAGAAGGUCUGUUCGACCUUUAAAUCUUUAC